GCGACCGUAACUCAAUUGGCAAGAGUAGCCGACUUUUAAUCGGCAAGUUAUGGGUUCAAGCCCCAUCGGUCGCA
Molecule: transfer RNA, 74 nt
Filed under: Siphoviridae sp. ctFjF5
Lineage: Duplodnaviria; Heunggongvirae; Uroviricota; Caudoviricetes
Description: tRNA-Lys
Rfam family: tRNA
About the family: Transfer RNA (tRNA) molecules are approximately 80 nucleotides in length. Their secondary structure includes four short double-helical elements and three loops (D, anti-codon, and T loops). Further hydrogen bonds mediate the characteristic L-shaped molecular structure. tRNAs have two regions of fundamental functional importance: the anti-codon, which is responsible for specific mRNA codon recognition, and the 3' end, to which the tRNAs corresponding amino acid is attached (by aminoacyl-tRNA synthetases). tRNAs cope with the degeneracy of the genetic code in two manners: having more than one tRNA (with a specific anti-codon) for a particular amino acid; and 'wobble' base-pairing, i.e. permitting non-standard base-pairing at the 3rd anti-codon position.
Source: RNAcentral